This 397-nucleotide ribosomal RNA is filed under the name uncultured bacterium. Its description in RNAcentral is "partial 16S ribosomal RNA". It matches the Rfam family "Bacterial small subunit ribosomal RNA", at positions 523 to 918 of the family's 1533-position model. The record is from RNAcentral.
AUACGUAGGUGACAAGCGUUAUCCGGAUUUACUGGGCGUAAAGGGCGUGUAGGCGGUCUUGCAAGUCAGAAGUGAAAUUCCUGAGCUCAACUCGGGCGCUGCUUCUGAAACUGCAGGACUUGAGUGCUGGAGGGGAGAGCGGAAUUCCUAGUGGAGCGGUAAAAUGCGCAGAUAUUAGGAAGAACACCAGUGGCGAAGGCGACUUACUGGACUGUAACUGACGCUGAGGCGCGAAAGUGUGGGGAGCAAACAGGAUUAGAUACCCUGGUAGUCCACACUGUAAACGAUGAAUGCUAGGUGUAGGGGGUAUCGACCCCUUCUGUGCCGCAGUUAACACAAUAAGCAUUCCGCCUGGGGAGUACGGCCGCAAGGUUGAAACUCAAAUGAAUUGACGGGG